GGGGAAUCUUGGACAAUGGGCGCAAGCCUGAUCCAGCCAUGCCGCGUGAGUGACGAAGGCCUUAGGGUUGUAAAGCUCUUUUGCCGGGGACGAUAAUGACGGUACCCGGAGAAUAAGUCCCGGCUAACUUCGUGCCAGCAGCCGCGGUAAUACGAAGGGGACUAGCGUUGUUCGGAAUUACUGGGCGUAAAGCGCACGUAGGCGGAUUUGUUAGUCAGGGGUGAAAUCCCGGGGCUCAACCUCGGAACUGCCUUUGAUACUGCAAAUCUCGAGUCCGAUAGAGGUGGGUGGAAUUCCUAGUGUAGAGGUGAAAUUCGUAGAUAUUAGGAAGAACACCGGUGGCGAAGGCGGCCCACUGGAUCGGUACUGACGCUGAGGUGCGAAAGCGUGGGGAGCAAACAG
RNAcentral lists this ribosomal RNA (402 nucleotides) under uncultured bacterium. RNAcentral's name for it is "bacterial SSU rRNA". It matches the Rfam family "Bacterial small subunit ribosomal RNA", at positions 356 to 775 of the family's 1533-position model. The record is from RNAcentral.